CAGCUCCCCCGGCCACCAGGCACGCAGUGCAGCUCUCCCUCUGCCCUGCAGGUGGUACUGUUCGACCGCUUUGCAGCCCUCUAAGGCAAGGAGCUGCAGCUUUUCGGGUGAGCUUUACCAGCGCAUCUGGGCGCAGCUGCAGGCACGGAGCUGGGCUCUAUCCGCUGCUCCCCGUGGGUGCAAGGACCAAAGGCGUGCCCUGUCCCUGGGACACCCGGUGCACCCAUGUGGGUCACCCACAGCUCUCCUGAGACAGUGCCAGCCUGCGGGGCAGGAGGGGUUUGUGCGUGUAUCAGAGCAGCAGCUUUAAUCCGUAAUGCUUGCCAUGAGGAUGAGGUGUCAGUAGCUUUGAACUCCUCGUCGUGAGGCUCGGGCCCCUGUUUGCAGCUCAGCACUGUGCCACAUCUCCUUUGGCUGGGGCUCAUUUGCGGUGCUGUCAGAGCACCAACAGGUCCCAUACGGCAGCGCACAGAGUCAAGGCGUUCUCCUGGUGUAUCCAUCACUAUCUCCGUCUCAUUGCCAAGCACUUCAAGCUUUCAUCAGAUCAAUUUUCUCCCUUUGAAAGAAAAGAGUCUUGUUAACUUGUGUGUGGGGCAGUGGAAAGCGCUCACCUGCCUCUCCCCAUGGUGCUGUGCAGUGUAAGCUGUGAAGAAGCAAGUUCCUCUCCCAGGAUGAGUAAAGUUUGCAUGACCUCGUGCCAGAAGAUCAAUGUUUUUGGGGAAAUGGCCAUUAGCCCUUCCGUGAACUUGGCAAUGUGUUUCCUAAGAUUCUUAUCACAUGUAGAAAGACGCCAAUUACUUCUAGCUGUGGGCGAGCCAGCUGUUCCUGGGACAACCUUCAGCCCUCCCAAGGACAGCGGAGGUGUCAGCCUGUUCCUGCUCGGCCCUCCUCGGGACCAGGGCUGGUGGCUCUCGGGGCCGGGUGAUGGUUGGGAUGAGUGUGGUGGAGUUGCACGGGAGGGCUGCAUCCUGGAGCCUGACUUAGCCAUGCCUGGUAGCCACCAGGCCAAACUCAUCACCUGGAGCCCAAAGACACUUUGCUUCAUUGCAAAUUCAUAGAUCCAUUUGUUUCUCUGUGGGGGGUGUUUUGAUAAGAUAGGCCUGGUACUACACCUUCGGUUGUGUAAUGGAGAUGUUUCUAAAAGAAUUAUGUUUUUUUUUUUUGCUCUUGGCUUGAUUUUAAAUUAAUCAGGCUCAAAGAUUUAUGAGCCUCCAAAAACUGUUUCUUCAGGGAUGCCCCUUGAUUGCACUGAAGGCAGAGUGGAGAUCUGAAUUUUCAGCAUGGCUUCCUGUCAGAAACAGAUCAAUAGCCUCAUAAGGAGGAUCUUGUUUCGGAGUGGGAAAACAACAAUUAAGCUGGCAUUUAUCUGUUACUGAUUCAGGAUAACAGAAACAAAAAAUCACGUUACAGAACUGUACAGGAGUAGACUUGUCUGCAUUACCCAUGUCUGGGUGAAUUCAAAGCAGGAUCUCCAAAGGCAGCAAAACUCUGUCACAAUAUUGAAACUGUCAUAAAAUGUGGCUGAAGCUUUCCUCUGUCAGAUGGACGAGCUGUGCCUUCUUAAUUUUGGGGUUUUCUCUCUCUUUUCCCCAUAGCAUCGUCACUCGAAUCCUUGUGCUUCCCGUUGGCGGCAGAGCAUGGCCACCCGCGCUGCAGAAAUGACAGGUUGGAGGACAAGAGUAGGGCUGGGGCCGUCCCCAGGGCUGCUGUACGUGGCCAGAACAUCGGGUUCGGAGACUCUCAGUCAGCGUGCUGCGAAGGUCAUAAAAUAGCUAGCAGCAGAAGUAAUCAGAGCCUGGGGCUGGCCCGGAUCGCCCUUUCCUUUCGGAAUUAAGGAGGGUGCUUGGCGCUGCUUGCGAAGCAAUCACAUUGAACAACCCCAAAUUGGCUUCCACGGGGAACCGUGGCCUCCUUGCUCUGCGAUAUGCCCUCCUCCGGUCCAGCAGCUUUCUCUUCCAGACCACAGCUUUAUUUAAUUUAGGUCCUACCAUUGGCAAUGGUUUUGCAAUGGGCUGUGGGUUAGGAAAAAGUAGAGAAUUUUUCCUUAAGCAAAAAGGAGAUGACAUUGCACAGAAAAAACAGAGCAAAGAAUAGUUUGUUGGCCGUUUUCUGCCUUGCUUCUGUGUGUGAUGCCAGCAAAAGGAUUGCAUUUUGGAGUGAUUUAAUGAAAAAAUGACUUUUGUUUCUAAUUCCUUUGCCUGCUUCAAAGCAGAAGGGCCACACGAUGGAGCUCUGGGGCUUCUGUCGGGGCCUGCCUGGAUUCACGCGUAAAAAGCAGUUUGGAGACCUUGAAAUUACGGUUUUUAUUAAUUUUUCACUCAGUUUAAUUUUUACAUUCAUUUUUAAAUGGUAAAUGUUCUAGACAUUAUAAUUGUAAAAUGUAAUUUAUGGUUGCUAGCUGAAGGUAUUUACUUUUGCUUUCUUAAGAUUGGAACUUUUAUUUUUAUUUUUACGACUGUAACGGGGUAACAUUUUUCAAUCUCCUGAGAGGCUGGCAUCCCAGAGACAGCGUUAGACCAUAUAAUUCUUCCAAAUGACACCCUGACUAUGUUGGGGAAGCUCUCAGGCCUCUAUAUGCAAAUAUUAAGCACCGGCCUUGCUGCACGUGUGAGAGAAUAAAUGAUGUUUUGGAGUGCUCCUUGUUCCUGGU
Molecule: long non-coding RNA, 2650 nt
Organism: Anser brachyrhynchus (Pink-footed goose)
Lineage: Eukaryota; Metazoa; Chordata; Aves; Anseriformes; Anatidae
Source: Ensembl